CUCUCUUCUUUCUCGAGAAAUCGGCGAAUCUGAGAACUAAGCAUCAACAACAAGAACAAUGAGAGCGAAGGUAACAUCUUCUUCUUCUUCUUCUUCUUCUUCUUCGAUU
Molecule: small RNA, 109 nt
Filed under: Arabidopsis thaliana (thale cress)
Lineage: Eukaryota; Viridiplantae; Streptophyta; Magnoliopsida; Brassicales; Brassicaceae
Description: ATSL056430
Source: RNAcentral